RNAcentral lists this ribosomal RNA (550 nucleotides) under Fusarium plagianthi. Its description in RNAcentral is "eukaryotic LSU rRNA". The stretch from base 185 to 338 matches the Rfam family "5.8S ribosomal RNA". Lineage: Eukaryota; Fungi; Ascomycota; Sordariomycetes; Hypocreales; Nectriaceae. The record is from RNAcentral.
UCUCCGUUGGUGAACCAGCGGAGGGAUCAUUACCGAGUUUGCAACUCCCAAACCCCUGUGAACAUACCUACGUCGUUGCUUCGGCGGGAACAGACGGCCCCGUAACACGGGCCGCCCCCGCCAGAGGACCCCCCAUACCCUGUUAUUAUUGUGUUUUUCUGAGUAAAACAAGCAAAUAAAUUAAAACUUUCAACAACGGAUCUCUUGGCUCUGGCAUCGAUGAAGAACGCAGCGAAAUGCGAUACGUAAUGUGAAUUGCAGAAUUCAGUGAAUCAUCGAAUCUUUGAACGCACAUUGCGCCCGCCAGUACUCUGGCGGGCAUGCCUGUCCGAGCGUCAUUAACAACCCUCAGGCCCCCGGGCCUGGUGUUGGGGAUCGGCGGAGCCCCCCGCGGGCACACGCCGUCCCCUAAAUUCAUUGGCGGUCUCGCUGCAGCCUCCAUUGCGUAGUAGCUAACACCUCGCAACUGGAACGCGGCGCGACCAUGCCGUAAAACACCCAACUUCUGAAUGUUGACCUCGGAUCAGGUAGGAAUACCCGCUGAACUUAA